Molecule: ribosomal RNA, 322 nt
Filed under: uncultured bacterium
Lineage: Bacteria
Description: bacterial SSU rRNA
Rfam family: Bacterial small subunit ribosomal RNA
Source: RNAcentral
GACGAACGCUGGCGGCGUGCCUAAUACAUGCAAGUCGAGCGGAGUGUGAAAGGAAGCUUGCUUCCUUUCACACUUAGCGGCGGACGGGUGAGUAACACGUAGGCAACCUGCCCUCAAGCCUGGGAUAACCACCGGAAACGGUAGCUAAUACCGGAUAAUUUCUUUCCUCUCCUGAAGAGAGAAUGAAAGGCGGAGCAAUCUGCUACUUGGGGAUGGGCCUGCGGCGCAUUAGCUAGUUGGUGGGGUAACGGCUCACCAAGGCGACGAUGCGUAGCCGACCUGAGAGGGUGAACGGCCACACUGGGACUGAGACACGGCCCAG